GUGUCAGCAGCCGCGGUAAUACAGAGACUGCAAGCGUUAUUCGGAUUCACUGGGCGUAAAGGGUGCGCAGGCGGCCAAGUGUGUCAGAUGUGAAAUCCCGAGGCUCAACCUCGGAACUGCGUCUGAAACUACUUGGCUAGAGUAUUGGAGAGGGUAACGGAAUUCACGGUGUAGCAGUGAAAUGCGUAGAUAUCGUGAGGAACACCAGAGGCGAAGGCGGUUACCUGGACAAUUACUGACGCUCAGGCACGAAAGCGUGGGGAGCAAAAGGGAUUAGAUACCCCUGUAGUCCACGCCCUAAACGGUGCACACUAGGUCUUGGCGGAUUCGAUCCCACCAGGGCCCAAGCUAACGCGUUAAGUGUGCCGCCUGAGGACUACGGUCGCAAGACUAAAACUCAAAGGAAUUGACGGGG
This 415-nucleotide ribosomal RNA is filed under the name uncultured prokaryote. RNAcentral describes it as "bacterial SSU rRNA". It matches the Rfam family "Bacterial small subunit ribosomal RNA", at positions 505 to 918 of the family's 1533-position model. The record is from RNAcentral.